RNAcentral lists this long non-coding RNA (544 nucleotides) under Dromaius novaehollandiae (emu). RNAcentral's name for it is "lncRNA (ENSDNVG00000014769.1)". The record is from RNAcentral. Lineage: Eukaryota; Metazoa; Chordata; Aves; Casuariiformes; Dromaiidae.
CUACAAAAGUGGUAACAGCAAAGUCCAAGACAUCCCUUCAUAGAGAGCACUGGAGCUAAGGAAAUUUUUUUCUAGUUCUCCAGCUAACAAAUGAACACCUCAGUCCUCUGAGUCAUUUCAGAAGAGAGGCGUUGUCGGAACUACCCCUCUGGUGCAGCAUCAGCAAAACCAGACAGACCGGCAGUGCUUCCCGUGCUCUUCUGCUCAUUAGUCCUGUGAAGGGUGCAGAGACGCAGAUGAAUAUUUGCCAUGCCAGAAGAAUUAUCAGCAGACUCAACUCCUGUGGGUCCAGCCAGCAUGACUGAUCCUGCAGUCCGGAUUUGCCCCCGUUUCGUCAGGAGAGGUGGUGACAGAGCAGGUGUCGCACCGUUAACCCAGCAAUACUGAGAGUGUGUCCCAGGUACAGUGCAUCUUCCUUGGCUUAGCACUGCCCAGGUCCUGGCUUAGCCCAAGGGGCUGCGGGUAGAAGAGUAAAUAGAGGUGGCUCUCAGGAUCCUUCAACAAAGCAGAGAAAGAGAGGAUUGCUCAAACCAAGCUAUCUAGA